Molecule: ribosomal RNA, 359 nt
Filed under: Abacarus sp. GZ31
Lineage: Eukaryota; Metazoa; Arthropoda; Arachnida; Trombidiformes; Eriophyidae
Description: partial small subunit ribosomal RNA
Source: RNAcentral
CUUGAUUCAAGAGUGACGGGCGAUUUGUGCAUAUUAAAAUUUAUUUUUCUAUUUUAAUUUUUUUUUUUAAAUUUAAUUUUAAGUUCUUCUUAUUUUUAUUCUUUUUAUUAAUUUUAAUUUUAUUUUUUUGAGUUUCAUAUCAUCAAACUUAUUUCUUCUGUCUUGAUUUGUUUUUUUUAAUAUAUUUUAAAUUAACUAAAAUUUUUGUAUUUUAAUUUUAAACAAUGAUAUAGAAAGUUAAAAAGUUAGCUUUUUUUUAUCGUGGGCUAUCUAUUAUUGUACAAAACUCCCUAAUAUAUUAAUACCGCCAUUUUAUUUAGAUUUAAAUUAUUUAUUUACUAUCUAUUGUUAUAAUAAAA